Molecule: ribosomal RNA, 2921 nt
Filed under: Staphylococcus aureus DAR1200
Lineage: Bacteria; Bacillati; Bacillota; Bacilli; Caryophanales; Staphylococcaceae
Also listed under: 12 other names
Description: bacterial LSU rRNA
Rfam family: Bacterial large subunit ribosomal RNA
Source: RNAcentral
UUAAGUUAUUAAGGGCGCACGGUGGAUGCCUUGGCACUAGAAGCCGAUGAAGGACGUUACUAACGACGAUAUGCUUUGGGGAGCUGUAAGUAAGCUUUGAUCCAGAGAUUUCCGAAUGGGGAAACCCAGCAUGAGUUAUGUCAUGUUAUCGAUAUGUGAAUACAUAGCAUAUCAGAAGGCACACCCGGAGAACUGAAACAUCUUAGUACCCGGAGGAAGAGAAAGAAAAUUCGAUUCCCUUAGUAGCGGCGAGCGAAACGGGAAGAGCCCAAACCAACAAGCUUGCUUGUUGGGGUUGUAGGACACUCUAUACGGAGUUACAAAGGACGACAUUAGACGAAUCAUCUGGAAAGAUGAAUCAAAGAAGGUAAUAAUCCUGUAGUCGAAAAUGUUGUCUCUCUUGAGUGGAUCCUGAGUACGACGGAGCACGUGAAAUUCCGUCGGAAUCUGGGAGGACCAUCUCCUAAGGCUAAAUACUCUCUAGUGACCGAUAGUGAACCAGUACCGUGAGGGAAAGGUGAAAAGCACCCCGGAAGGGGAGUGAAAUAGAACCUGAAACCGUGUGCUUACAAGUAGUCAGAGCCCGUUAAUGGGUGAUGGCGUGCCUUUUGUAGAAUGAACCGGCGAGUUACGAUUUGAUGCAAGGUUAAGCAGUAAAUGUGGAGCCGUAGCGAAAGCGAGUCUGAAUAGGGCGUUUAGUAUUUGGUCGUAGACCCGAAACCAGGUGAUCUACCCUUGGUCAGGUUGAAGUUCAGGUAACACUGAAUGGAGGACCGAACCGACUUACGUUGAAAAGUGAGCGGAUGAACUGAGGGUAGCGGAGAAAUUCCAAUCGAACCUGGAGAUAGCUGGUUCUCUCCGAAAUAGCUUUAGGGCUAGCCUCAAGUGAUGAUUAUUGGAGGUAGAGCACUGUUUGGACGAGGGGCCCCUCUCGGGUUACCGAAUUCAGACAAACUCCGAAUGCCAAUUAAUUUAACUUGGGAGUCAGAACAUGGGUGAUAAGGUCCGUGUUCGAAAGGGAAACAGCCCAGACCACCAGCUAAGGUCCCAAAAUAUAUGUUAAGUGGAAAAGGAUGUGGCGUUGCCCAGACAACUAGGAUGUUGGCUUAGAAGCAGCCAUCAUUUAAAGAGUGCGUAAUAGCUCACUAGUCGAGUGACACUGCGCCGAAAAUGUACCGGGGCUAAACAUAUUACCGAAGCUGUGGAUUGUCCUUUGGACAAUGGUAGGAGAGCGUUCUAAGGGCGUUGAAGCAUGAUCGUAAGGACAUGUGGAGCGCUUAGAAGUGAGAAUGCCGGUGUGAGUAGCGAAAGACGGGUGAGAAUCCCGUCCACCGAUUGACUAAGGUUUCCAGAGGAAGGCUGGUCCGCUCUGGGUUAGUCGGGUCCUAAGCUGAGGCCGACAGGCGUAGGCGAUGGAUAACAGGUUGAUAUUCCUGUACCACCUAUAAUCGUUUUAAUCGAUGGGGGGACGCAGUAGGAUAGGCGAAGCGUGCGAUUGGAUUGCACGUCUAAGCAGUAAGGCUGAGUAUUAGGCAAAUCCGGUACUCGUUAAGGCUGAGCUGUGAUGGGGAGAAGACAUUGAGUCUUCGAGUCGUUGAUUUCACACUGCCGAGAAAAGCCUCUAGAUAGAAAAUAGGUGCCCGUACCGCAAACCGACACAGGUAGUCAAGAUGAGAAUUCUAAGGUGAGCGAGCGAACUCUCGUUAAGGAACUCGGCAAAAUGACCCCGUAACUUCGGGAGAAGGGGUGCUCUUUAGGGUUAACGCCCAGAAGAGCCGCAGUGAAUAGGCCCAAGCGACUGUUUAUCAAAAACACAGGUCUCUGCUAAACCGUAAGGUGAUGUAUAGGGGCUGACGCCUGCCCGGUGCUGGAAGGUUAAGAGGAGUGGUUAGCUUCUGCGAAGCUACGAAUCGAAGCCCCAGUAAACGGCGGCCGUAACUAUAACGGUCCUAAGGUAGCGAAAUUCCUUGUCGGGUAAGUUCCGACCCGCACGAAAGGCGUAACGAUUUGGGCACUGUCUCAACGAGAGACUCGGUGAAAUCAUAGUACCUGUGAAGAUGCAGGUUACCCGCGACAGGACGGAAAGACCCCGUGGAGCUUUACUGUAGCCUGAUAUUGAAAUUCGGCACAGCUUGUACAGGAUAGGUAGGAGCCUUUGAAACGUGAGCGCUAGCUUACGUGGAGGCGCUGGUGGGAUACUACCCUAGCUGUGUUGGCUUUCUAACCCGCACCACUUAUCGUGGUGGGAGACAGUGUCAAGCGGGCAGUUUGACUGGGGCGGUCGCCUCCUAAAAGGUAACGGAGGCGCUCAAAGGUUCCCUCAGAAUGGUUGGAAAUCAUUCAUAGAGUGUAAAGGCAUAAGGGAGCUUGACUGCGAGACCUACAAGUCGAGCAGGGUCGAAAGACGGACUUAGUGAUCCGGUGGUUCCGCAUGGAAGGGCCAUCGCUCAACGGAUAAAAGCUACCCCGGGGAUAACAGGCUUAUCUCCCCCAAGAGUUCACAUCGACGGGGAGGUUUGGCACCUCGAUGUCGGCUCAUCGCAUCCUGGGGCUGUAGUCGGUCCCAAGGGUUGGGCUGUUCGCCCAUUAAAGCGGUACGCGAGCUGGGUUCAGAACGUCGUGAGACAGUUCGGUCCCUAUCCGUCGUGGGCGUAGGAAAUUUGAGAGGAGCUGUCCUUAGUACGAGAGGACCGGGAUGGACAUACCUCUGGUGUACCAGUUGUCGUGCCAACGGCAUAGCUGGGUAGCUAUGUGUGGACGGGAUAAGUGCUGAAAGCAUCUAAGCAUGAAGCCCCCCUCAAGAUGAGAUUUCCCAACUUCGGUUAUAAGAUCCCUCAAAGAUGAUGAGGUUAAUAGGUUCGAGGUGGAAGCAUGGUGACAUGUGGAGCUGACGAAUACUAAUCGAUCGAAGACUUAAUCAA